Molecule: transfer RNA, 67 nt
Filed under: Ziphius cavirostris (Cuvier's beaked whale)
Lineage: Eukaryota; Metazoa; Chordata; Mammalia; Artiodactyla; Ziphiidae
Description: tRNA-Val
Rfam family: tRNA
About the family: Transfer RNA (tRNA) molecules are approximately 80 nucleotides in length.
Source: RNAcentral
CAAGAUGUAGCUUAAACAAAGCAUCUAGUUUACACCCAGAAGAUUCCACAGUCCGUGUACAUCUUGA